UACGAAGGGGGCUAGCGUUGCUCGGAAUCACUGGGCGUAAAGCGCACGUAGGCGGACUCUUAAGUCGGUGGUGAAAUCCUGGAGCUCAACUCCAGAACUGCCUCCGAUACUGGGAGCCUUCGAGUCCGGGAGAGGUGAGUGGAACUGCGAGUGUAGAGGUGAAAUUCGUAGAUAUUCGCAAGAACACCAGUGGCGAAGGCGGCUCACUGGCCCGGUACUGACGCUGAGGUGCGAAAGCGUGGAGAGCAAACAGG
RNAcentral lists this ribosomal RNA (254 nucleotides) under uncultured bacterium. Its description in RNAcentral is "partial 16S ribosomal RNA". It matches the Rfam family "Bacterial small subunit ribosomal RNA", at positions 524 to 776 of the family's 1533-position model. The record is from RNAcentral.